This 406-nucleotide ribosomal RNA is filed under the name uncultured bacterium. Its description in RNAcentral is "partial 16S ribosomal RNA". It matches the Rfam family "Bacterial small subunit ribosomal RNA", at positions 30 to 526 of the family's 1533-position model. The record is from RNAcentral.
AUUGAACGCUGGCAGCAGGCCUAACACAUGCAAGUCGAGCGAGCGGCGGACGGGUGAGUAAUGUAUGGGGAACUGCCCGAUAGAGGGGGAUAACUACUGGAAACGGUGGCUAAUACCGCAUACUAUCAGAUGAGCCCAGAUGGGUUUAGCUAGUGGGUGGGGUAAAGGCUCACCUAGGCGACGAUCCCUAGCUGGUCUGAGAGGAUGAUCAGCCACACUGGAACUGAGACACGGCCCAGACUCCUACGGGAGGCAGCAGUGGGGAAUAUUGCACAAUGGGCGCAAGCCUGAUGCAGCCAUGCCGCGUGUAUGAAGAAGGCCUUCGGGUUGUAAAGUACUUUCAGCGGGGAGGCGUUACCCGCAGAAGAAGCACCGGCUAACUCCGUGCCAGCAGCCGCGGUAAUUC